Long non-coding RNA from Cololabis saira (Pacific saury), 780 nucleotides. RefSeq lists it as uncharacterized. Lineage: Eukaryota; Metazoa; Chordata; Actinopteri; Beloniformes; Belonidae. The record is from RefSeq and is a predicted model, not a curated record. The transcript is spliced from 6 exons.
AAACUGCUCACGUUUUUUAAGGUGACAUCGUAUUUUGCCGAUUUCCCAAAGUCUGUUAGAAAAGGUCUGAUUUCCUACAACUCUAACAGAGUUCUAGAUGUCAACAUGAGACACAGACAGUAGCGGCGUUUCUCUACACGGAGCGUUGGUGCCGGGCUGACUCCUCCUAUUCAGACACGUGUGUUUGUUUACAACCUAUGGAGCACGAAAUGCAAAGAGGAGCAAUGUCGACCGACAAGCUUUGUACAUAGACGAGUUGCAUCAAGUCCAGGCAAGGGACACGCAGGAAUUCUACCCCUGUCGUUGUCCAGCGUGACAGUCUGACCGUCAAAGCAUGCAUUUCCUGAAAAUGACUGCUGAGGAGCAGCAUGAGUCUCCAGAUGAGGAGGAGAUCAAUUAUUUGAGAAAAACAAUCAUUGACAUCGAUGAUCCUGGUCAGAGGUUCAGGAAAAGGAGACGGCUCUGAUGAGGAAUAUAUUCCUCACCUUUGUUUAUGGACAACUUCAGACUUCGAGAACUUCCAAAAUCACAUCCUGAUGUAUGCAGGAAAGCAUUUUGGCUUUAGCCCACCCGUAUACACAGCUCAGACGUUGCUUGUAACACUUGGUUACAACCACCGCCUCCCUGCACGAAACCGUGAUGGGACACAAGAUUUACCGAUGGUUCUACAAUAAAAACAUGAAGAGCGGGAGUGUGUAUACCCUGAAAGAGAAAAAGGACUAUGGCUACUGUACAUCCCUGAACUACAGAAGGCCACUCUUUCAAAGAGGCUUCAGAGUG